UAAAACUAGGGCUUUUUUUUUCAAGAACGUCUAACCUCUUAUUCUUCUCCUCCGUCUCCCUCAAAAACCCUAGUUUCCAUCUCCAUUAAUCUUCCCUCACCGGCGAUCUCAUCUAAAACCUCCUUCUUACGAUCCUCAUCUUAUAAUUCUUAAACCUCGCUUCAACGCCCCUUCUCACAAAAUCAAAAAAAUCGACAAAGAACUAGGGCUCUUUACCCCUGGAAUCGGACCUCACAAAAUCCUUCAUAGAUUCGACGAUUGGGGCUCUGUGACUACUUAUGCUCACAACAACAAUGAUUUUAAGGUUUUUGUCCCCGAAGGGAACAAUGGUGAAGGUAUUACAUGAGAUGGUUGACUUCUCGGGCGUCGUCACCUGUUUCGUGCGUAAGGAGGGUUAGCGGAUGAAGAGGUGGAAUAUUUUUUAAACAUGAGGCUGAAGAAAGAGAAGAAGAUUAAACGAUGACAACUAUUAAAAGGGCACUUCAGGAUGACAAUGAACCAAAUUCUGUUCAAAUUAUUUAUAAGUUAUUAUCAAGGAAGUGCAAAAAGAAGCUUGAAGAACUGUUACAUCAAUGUUAACAGAUUUUGGGCUGUCAAAGGUUGGCCUAAUUAACAGUACAAAUGAUGUAUCUGGUCCAGCAGUGAGUGGCACAUCACUAUUGGGUGAUAAUGGGACUCAGUCAUCUCUCUCAUCUCCAUUUAUGUCUGCCACUGAGACUCAGCAAGAAAGACACAAAAACCGCUCUGCUGUUGGACAACUCCACACUAUUUGGCACCCGAGAUUCUUCUGGGAAAUGGACAUGGUACAUCAGCGGAAUGGUGGUCUGUUGGUGUAAUACUAUUUGAGCUGAUUGUUGGCAUUUCUCCAUUCAAUGUAGAGCACCCUCAGAUGAUAUUUGACAACAUUCUCAGCCGUAACAUACCCUGGCCUGCAGUGCCUGAUGAAAUGAGCCCUGAUGCCCAGGAUCUCAUUGAUCAAUAAGAGAAACUUUUUAAUUAUCAUCUUUAAAAUUUAAAUACAUUUUUCUGAGUUCAAUCAUUGUGCAGAUUAUUGACAGAAGAUCCUAACCAGAGACUUGGAGCUAGGGGAGCAACUGAGGUGAAACAUCAUCCGAUUUUUAGGGAUAUUAACUGGGAUACCCUUGCCAAGCAAAAGGCUGCAUUUGUGCCUUCAUCAGAGAGUGCACUGGACACAAGUUAUUUCACAAGUAGGUACACAUGGAAUAACUCAGAGCAGGUAUAUGCAGCAAGUGAAACAGAGGACUCUAGACUGAUGAUUGAUAGCUUUAUUUCAGUUUGUAUGGCCACAAGUGGUAUUAAUCUUUCAAAGACUGAUGCUGUAUUCAACUCUUCCUCCUACCAUGUUCCGCCACGACCCUAUUAUACCUGCACUACUUACCUUCUUCUAUGUUUUAUUAAUCUUUCAGAGACACGACUUUUAUACCAGACACCGAAGAUGAGAACUCGGUCAAAUCAGGACAUUGAUUUUUGGUUGGGAUUUAAAGGCCUGCCAACAUCUCCUCCACCUGAAGAGAUAAUCAUAAAUUAAUAGGGAUUCGUGUUGUUUUUUAAUUUAACACGUCUAUUUUUACAGUUUACGAAUUUCCUUGUUGAAUUUCUAAUUUUAAUUAUGAAUUUUCAACAUAUUUUUUUUUUAUUUUGUACUGGAUAUCAAGCAGGAGGUUUUUGGUGGUUGAGUACUUUUAAAAAUAGCUAAACAAAGGGACCAAAAAUCAAGAGGAGGAUUUGAAGACCCAUAAUGACUAAAAUGCCCUUUGCUUUCCAAUAGAAUACCCACCUGCAGUUGAUUGGUAACCAAUUCGAUUUUUGAUUUUUCAGUUUUUCAUAAUUGUGUGCUUAUUGAUGUGUUUAGGUUAGGGCUUCCAAUUCAAUUCUGGGCUUUGUCUCUACAUUUCUAUUUAACAGUUUCAAGCAAACGCACAAGAAACAGAGCAUCUUUCCUAUCACUUUUAAGGUGUACAAUGUUGGAAAGGAGGCAACAAUUGUAUUGCUACUUAAAGGUGAUUGUUCUCUUGGUUACCUCCAUAUCGUGUAAGCCUUUAACCGUCUUCUACUAUUAAUCUGUUACCCAUCUCCCUUUUCUCUGUAUCCUUUUACCAUUCUUGAGAAAUUGACACCUUGUCUGACUUCAGACCUAGAGCUUAAACAAUUAUUUCUUCAAGAUCAAUACUUCAACUCACACCCAUUUCAAUUAGCAGCCUCCAGUACUCGAGGAAACUUGAAGACAUGAUCAAAUCAUAAAUGAGUUGCUCAAUGAACUGAUCCUUAUUUGGAGUUUUUUACUUGAAUUUUGUUUUACAAAGUUGAGUUUCUUUAUUCGUUAUUUAUGGUUAUGUUUUUCAAUUUGGAUCAUCAGUUGAGAUUAGUUAAUUGCUUUAAUUAAUUUAAUAAUUCAUCAUUGAAAUUAGAAUCUAGAUAAUCGUUUGUUGUUUGUUUACUUAUGUUUGACUGAUGAUUAAAGUAUGUGUGUGUUUGUACUUAUUCAAUUAGAGAUGAAUUAUGAUAAGUUUCAAUUUGGUUUUUAUUAAUUAUGACUUUUUUGGUGGACACCUGCUUUUAUGCUCACUAGAGAACCUGAUUUUAAUUGAAGUUCUACAGAAGAUGUGCUAGAAUAUUUUAGGCAACAAAGAUAGGAAGCUGAUCAUAUCCUAAAAGUGAAGGUUCUUAAUUUUAUGGAAAGUUAACAGAUCAUACAAGUAAAAGCACAUCAUCUGUAUAGGUGCAGUUGAAGCAUGUGCAACCUAAAAUUUAUAUGCUACAAGAUCACAAGGACGAACUGCAGAUGCUGAUAUGCAGAAUUUGAAUUAGGAAAAGGAAUUCCAAUUUCUCCUUUUAUAAGGUGGAGAAGAACUAAGAAUAAUAAAAGCAAGAAAGAAAGAUAUAUAUGUUUUCAUUGUUUUAUGGACUGUGGAAAUAUCUGGUUAGUAAGACAGAGUUUCAAUUACUGAUUCUGGGAAUUGACAAGGCUGGAAAAAUAACCUUACUGGAGAAAUUGAAGACACAAUAUUCAAGCUUAGAAGGCCUUCCCCCUGAUCAAAUUCUUCCUACUGUUGGAGUCAAUAUUGGUCGAAUAGAAACUUCAAAUACAAAACUUGUGUUUUGGGAUCUUAGAGGUCAAGUAUUUACAACCAAUCCUUUUAUCUCAUACCUUCUAAAUUUCCCAACUUUUCUUAUGAUCUUAUCUUAAAAAGUAGCAUAAUAAUAGCAAGCACUAGAGAUUUUUAUAAAAAUAUGUAGUGUUAGUGUUAUUUUUUUUUUCUAAUUUGUCAUUGGUUCAUGAGUAUCUAUACAGUCUAGUCUUUGUUCAAUUUGGGAGAAAUAUUAUGAGGAGGCAUAUGUUGUUAUCUUUGUAGUUGAUGCUUCUUGUCCAUCACAUUUUGAAGAUUCCAAAUCUGCCCUUGAUGAUGAUAAGAUAAAGAAAUGGCGGUAGAUGAUGAUAAGGUAAAGAGAACUCGAGAUCUGCUAUCGAGCUUCUCAGACUUCUGCUCCCACCAACACGACAUCAAGAUUCGCCACUCUCGACACUAUCAACACCACCUCCUUCGAUGUUGAUCAGUACAUGAACCUUCUUGGGUGCAUUGGUAAUUGCAGACGAAGUUCAGUUUAAAUUUGACAGGUGUCUUAGGGCUCUACACGAAACAGUGAGGGAUCUUCCAUCUUUUAUGUCUUAUUGCUUGGAUACUUCGGGAUCACAAAUCUCACUUCUCAACAUUACCACCAUACUACAAUCCUGUUGUUGCAUCUGGUCAUGCCCCUCGCCCUUAUAUGUGGGGUCCUCAACAGCAUAUGAUGCCACCAUAUGUUGCUUUCUAUCCACAUGGAGGUGUUUAUGCACAUCCUGUAGUUCAUCUUAAACAAUAUUGAUGGGAACUCACACAGGUGGAAACAGUAGCUCGUUUAUAAAACAGUGGGGAGAUUGAAGGAACGAGUGAAGGAAUUGAUGGGAAUACAAUUGAGGUAAUAAACCUAUAUGUCAUCAGCUGAAGUUGAGAAGGAUGAGCCACAAAUGAUGUCUAAAACUAAGUUAAGCAGCUGGAAAAUACCAACAUAUGUGACUGAGCAAAGAAAAAAAGCAAGAGACGUCUGGUGCAGAAAUGGGCUUAUGUGUGUAUAUUUAGUGUUUUAAGACUGUUGGUAACAGUAUAUGCCCUCCUGUUACCAAUCUGCAAGAAGUGAAGUAUAAACCAACCUUACAUACAAAUAUUUACAAGCUCAUUCUAUUUAUAAACAACUUGCUAGGACAUGAUAUAACUUUUAUCAGUCCACACCAACAAAGUUGGCUGGAGAAAACUACUUCCUCCAUUCAGGGCAGCUAAUGUUCAAGUCAUUAUUUGUCAUCUACACUCGAUGGACAACAACCAAUUUUUUGACAUGGAGGAUUUGUUUUUUACAUGAUAUCUGAAACAAGGUGUCCCUUACAUGAUAGCUAGGGAUUGUAUUUUAUGCAAUGGAUUGUAUUUUUUGUAUAUGAUUAUUUGUAUGACAUUAAAUUUUAU
Molecule: non-coding RNA, 4517 nt
Organism: Lactuca sativa (garden lettuce)
Lineage: Eukaryota; Viridiplantae; Streptophyta; Magnoliopsida; Asterales; Asteraceae
Source: RefSeq, a predicted model, not a curated record